Molecule: unclassified non-coding RNA, 4193 nt
Filed under: Leishmania donovani
Lineage: Eukaryota; Euglenozoa; Kinetoplastea; Trypanosomatida; Trypanosomatidae
Description: gene:LdHU3.34.4600(CDS-product:regulatory_subunit _of_protein_kinase_a-like_protein)
Source: RNAcentral
GAAACACGAAAAGAACGAAGGACGUCAAAAAAAAAAGAUUCUGUAGUAGCAUCAACAACCAUCGGCUCGAUUCCGCCGCGGUUGCUAGCUCAUAUCCCCUAGCCCACAUGCCAACACGAAAACCGAAACUGAGACGCCCUUCGUCCCCGUUAUCCUCUCCCCGUCCACGCUUCGCGCUGUAUCUUCUCUGCCGCGCCGUCUUUUCUUUCACUCACACGCACAUCUCUUCGAACUUUCGUGCGAUCGCUGGCAAACCGCAACUCGUCUCUCAACGUGUUGAUGCAAGCGAUUCCCCUCUGUCUUCCCUUCCUCCCCCUUUUUUGACAGGAAUUUCUCUCGCUCCUCUGUCUCUCUGCGUAGUCUGUCGCGCCGCAUCGUUGCCCCCCUGUUUCCCUUAGUCCUUCGGCCAUUCACCUCAUCCAGUACCCCUUGUUUCUUCUUAAGGCACACAAGCACACAGUGACACAACCGUUUCGCAUCAGACACCCCUGUCGCCUUGCCCUUUCAGAAUGUCCAGUUUCGACAAAUACGUGGUGCAGUUGGUGCGCCGUAUGGGUGAUAGCGUGUCGAAAGGGAUGCGGGAGACGAUACUGCUAAACAUCAAGGACAGCAUUGACGACUACCAACGGCUCCGUGACCCAGCUGAGGCUCAGGCACGCGAGAAAGCCGCGGCAGCCAAGAAGCGGCGGGCGGCUGCGCGAAAGGCCAAGGAGGAGGAGCGGCGCCGAAGAAUGGAGCGGCAAGCGAAUCUGCCACCACUCCCGCCGCCGAGGUCGAAUAACGCAACUCAGCCCGCCACGACGGACUCAAAGUCAACCAGGAAGACGCACAAGGAAAAGUCCGCUGCCAGAAGUAACAACAUAAACUUCUCUGCCUCCUCUGCAGAGCGUGCUGGUGCCAUGACUGCAGCCAGUGCAGCUGCGAAAGCGCAGGCGCGCUCCAAGAUGCACUUGGUGGCGUUGAAAGGCAUCGACCUCCUCUUUGUAAAGGAGGUAGCGGCGCAACUGCGCGAUCUGAGAAGAAAGCCGGGGGCGAUUUCCUCGUUGGCAGGUUCCACUCAAGAAUGCAUCGCCUCGAAUGUCGUCGGAGCCGCGACGCCUAUGGGUGCCCCAUCAGCACCUACAACUGCCGAGUCCGUGGAAACGGCUGCGAGGAACAAGAAGUCACGGUCGGCCAUCCCGCAAAAGCGCAUGUCGCCGCCCCCACUGGACCACACCGCGAUGAAGCAGUCGGAUCGGGAAAACUCGUCGAUCGGUGGCGCAGAUGAGACUUUGCCACUGCCCCGGAGCGACACAAUCUCCUACCAGGAAACCUUCAAAACAUUCAGGUUUGGACGUCAGGACGCGGACAACGAGAGCGACUCGAAAGCCGAGAAUGACUCACAGGACGGAGAACAAAGGCAGAGAGAAGCGGAGGAGGACGAGUUCAUCGACGACUGCGAGGAUGCUCGACGCCGAACCAUCCAAAUGCAGCGCCCAAGCCGCGGCGCCAUCUCGGACUCCUCGCUAGACAUUGACGAGGCGCGCAUUGCUAGCUUCCCGACAACGCCCAAGUCACAGGAGAAAAUGAAGACGAUCUCGCGCGUCCUUGUGCGUCACUUUUUGUUUUCUACGCUGGACGACAGUGAUAUUGCUAAGUUUGCGUCCAUCAUGGACGUCGAGAAGUUCGAGGCGGGCACGCAAAUCUUGGAAAAGGGCCACACGAACGACACCUUCUUCAUUGUGCUUGACGGUGAGGCGGAAACGACGGUGGUGAACGAGGACGGCGCGGAGGUGGUCGUGCCUCUCGUGCGCGGCUCCACAUUCGGAGACCUGGGGCUGAUGUACGAAAUAUCGAACGGUGCAGCCGUCGUGGCGCGCUCCUCGGUGCAGUGUGCCUCGCUGGAGCGCCGCACUUACAAGAUGAUCACUUCGCGCGCGAUGGAGGACAAGCGGCGCAGGUACGUUGAUUUCCUGUCGUCGCUGCCGGUGUUUGCCGGGGUGUCCUCGCACCAGCUAGAGGACGUCGCAGAGCGCCUCAAGGAGGACAGCUACGUCCAGGGUCAGAGGGUGAUCGCGGCCGGUGUGCCAAAUCACUGGUUGCACAUCAUAAUGGAGGGAAGCGUGUGCGUAAUGGCGCCGGACGGAGAGAGUGGCGAUAUGAAAGAAGUGGCACUUCUCCAUCCCGGCGACUUUGCCGGUCAAAUCGAGUUCCUUUACCAUCACGUCGCCGUUGCUGAUGUCGUGGCUGUGAGCGCGGUGGUAAAGACCGCGAAGCUCAGUCGCCGCUCCUUCGAAUUCUUCCCGAUGGAGGCCCGCGAGCGGCUGAUCAGAGCCGUCGAGGAGGAGGAGACGUACGCGACAUAUCAGAAGCGCAUGCACAGUGGCACACGUCCGCCUCUGGACACAACGCCGCCGUUCGAUGCCCCACCGUCUCAUUUGCGGUACUCUCUGCGACAACACGAGAGCGCGUAGCUGAGGGGAAGCCACAGCUUUCUACCCUGUGCGCUGCUCUAGGCGAGCACACGGCGGGAAACUUUACACACGGGCAAACACAACUACGCGCUAUCAAGAAGAAAAACAAAAACAAAAAGAAAAACAGCGUGGAACUCUUUGCAGCAGCGAUCCCCGUGCACUGCAUCCUGCUCUCCCGCCAGUUUUCUGCACAACAUGCGUACAUGCUUGCGAACAUUGUCAACAGGGUGACCCCUAUUCGGGUCUCUCUUUUUUUCCAUGCCCUUCUCCUUCACGCCGUUUUUCCUCGCUGAGGUAGAUGAGUGAUCGCUGAUCGACGUUCGCCAAGAGGGAGGGCAGCCGCCACCGCAUACAGACAUGGUCGAGAGCGCGAGAGGUGAGAGGUGACUGCACUGGACGGGGUUUUGCACAUCCCUUGUGUGUGUGUGUGUGUAGUUUUCUUUGCUUUUAUGCCACUCCACUUUCUUUUGUUUGCCCCGGUUCUCGUACUUCUUUGUUUCGGUUGUUGGUUGAAAUGGCUCCUCUGCGUGUGUGCGCGUGGAUGGAAUUAGAAGCUUCUUGUUUUUGUUUCUUCUCCUCUCUACGGGUGGCCGGUUAGGAAAUGGAUGGAUGGCGCUGCGGGUGCCCACGCUUGCCGCUCUCUUACCUGCGUGUGUGCGUCUGUUUGGAACAUGGCUUCUUAGCGCUUUUGUACGAUUUUCAUCGUUCUCGACGCUCUGUUUUUCAUGUUCAUGUGUCUCGCCUGCCCCGUUACGUGCACCGAUCCUUGUUUUUUCGAUUCAUGCUUUUGUUUUGAGCAACGGCUUCGCACUGGUGGACGUCUGCGGGUCGCUGCGUGUUUUGUUGGAGUGCAGCACGGGCAACCCGGGAAAGCCACGUGCUGCUCCAGUAAUGAAGAGACAACGAUGAAAACACAUGGAAAACUGUAGAGCGAGGGGCGAUGCUUUUACAUGUCUUCCUGCUCCUCUCCCCCAACGCUCCUACCCAGGUACCCUGACGGUUCUUUCACGCGGUUUUUUUUUUCGCGUCUGCAAUUGCCAGCGUCCCUGUCUUUCUCCCUCUGUAAUACGAGACGAGUUUCUCUUGUAUCGUGUCCGAUGAUUGUGCGGUCGCUGGAAGCGCAUUUUUUUUAUCAUGGCGUUGCUCCUCAGCAUAUGCAAUGUGCUCCGAGUAUUUGGAGGGGAGUCGAUAGAGGGGGCAAACGGAGGGAAACUUGUCUAUGGACUCCUGGGAACAGCAACGAGGGCGGCGCGAGAGCGCCUCGAUGGACGGCUCACUCAGUCGCGCUGCUUUUUUUUCCUUGCCCUUUAUGAGUCCGCGGAGAAGUAAGCAGUGUAUCGCGCCCCUUGGAUUUGUUUGGAAACGCGCACCGUUCCUUCCUUUCACCGCACAAAGACACCUGCAACGACUCCCCGGUGCUUUUUUUUUCACGCCCCUCUUCUCUUCCUUCUUCCUGGGUUUUGUGUGUCCUCAUCCACUCUUUUUGUUUCUACCUCACUCGCUGUCGCAUGCCUUUGCCGUGGACGCUCAACGUGAAUGUACGCUACUUCUUUUAGAGUUACCCCUGUAGUACGCCCCCGUAUUUUUUUUUCUUUCUGUUCUUGUUCUUUCUCCUUCUCCUCGCCUGUUCUAUUUUUGCGCGAUUUCUGUACUGUGUCUUUCUUGUCUUUGGGUGUGCAAAACACACACACACACACACGCGCGCGCGAACUGUCACACGUUCCUUCCUCCCCACACCAG